RNAcentral lists this unclassified non-coding RNA (240 nucleotides) under soil metagenome. RNAcentral's name for it is "partial contains 5.8S ribosomal RNA, internal transcribed spacer 2, and large subunit ribosomal RNA". The record is from RNAcentral.
AACGCACGAGACCUGCGGACCUGCGGAAGGAUCAUUAAUGAGAAACUGCCCCUCGCGGGUAGAUCUCCCACCCUUUGUAAACUUACCUUUGUUGCUUUGGCAGGCCCGUCUCCGGACCGCCGGCUUCGGCUGGCCAGUGCCUGCCAGAGGAUUCUAAAACUCUGUCUGUCAGUGCUGUCUGAGUCUAUAUACAAUCGUUAAAACUUUCAACAAUGGAUCUCUAGAUCGGAAGAGCACACG